This 428-nucleotide ribosomal RNA is filed under the name uncultured bacterium. Its description in RNAcentral is "partial 16S ribosomal RNA". It matches the Rfam family "Bacterial small subunit ribosomal RNA", at positions 354 to 796 of the family's 1533-position model. The record is from RNAcentral.
GUAGGGAAUAUUGCGCAAUGGGGGAAACCCUGACGCAGCGACGCCGCGUGAGUGAUGAAGGCCUUCGGGUCGUAAAGCUCUGUUGCAGGGGAAUAAAAAAAUGAAGGUACCCUGUGAGGAAGGAUCGGCUAACUUCGUGCCAGCAGCCGCGGUAAGACGAGGGAUCCUAGCGUUGCUCGGAAUCAUUGGGCGUAAAGAGGGCGUAGGUGGCUUGGUAAGUCAGGUGUGAAAGCCCAGGGCUCAACCCUGGAAGUGCAUUUGAUACUGCUGAGCUUGAGUGUCGGAGAGGUUACCGGAAUACCUGGUGUAGUGGUGAAAUACGUAGAUAUCAGGUGGAACACCGGAGGCGAAGGCGGGUAACUGGACGAACACUGACACUGAGGCACGAAAGCGUGGGGAUCAAACAGGAUUAGAAACCCUUGUAGUCC